UUACAUAUGAAAUGAAAGUGGAAAUUCAUUUCAACCAAGUGGACAAUUGUUUUUUAAUGAUACCCGUAUGUGAAAAUGACUUAGCGACAGUCGUUAUGUAUGUGUGUUUACAUAUGAAACGAAAGUGGAAAUUCAUUUUAACCAAGUGGACAAUUGUUUUUUAAAGUUUAAAGAUCUACUGUAAGUUUUUAUUUGCUUCAAGUCCAGUCGCUUUAAUACAUGUUUAGUAAAGAUCCUUGUCCAGUCAAUGUGAUCCUUGUCCAGUCAAGUUAUUAUAGAUACUUGAGAUGACGACACAACCUUACUUAUAAAAUAGGCUGACCUCAGAGGUACAUUCAUCAGUAUUUAUCUAAUUAAUCUGGGAAAGUGCAAUAGAUGUUCUGGUGUUUGAUGGAAAGAGUCACAUCCUGCUUGUAGAAUAUAUUUGUACCUCAUUCAGGCUAUAAUGGCAAGUUGGAAUAAGAAACUAACUACAGCUGCUAGGGAUGGAGAUAUAGAAGCCUUAAAAUUAAGCCUACAGAAUGGUGCAGACAUUGAUUAUCG
Mytilus trossulus (common blue mussel) is the source of this 543-nucleotide long non-coding RNA. RefSeq lists it as uncharacterized. NCBI's taxonomy places the organism in Eukaryota, Metazoa, Mollusca, Bivalvia, Mytilida, Mytilidae. The record is from RefSeq and is a predicted model, not a curated record. The transcript has 8 exons.